CAGUAGCCACGGUAAUACGGAGGGGGCUAGCGUUGUUCGGAAUUACUGGGCGUAAAGCGCACGUAGGCGGCUUGGUAAGUUAGAGGUGAAAGCCUGGAGCUCAACUCCAGAAUUGCCUUUAAGACUGCCGAGCUAGCAGGUGAGAGAGGUAAGUGGAAUUCCGAGUGUAGAGGUGAAAUUCGUAGAUAUUCGGAAGAACACCAGUGGCGAAGGCGGCUUACUGGCCCAUACUGGACGCUGAGGUGCGAAAGCGUGGGGAGCAAACAGGAUUAGAUACCCCCGUAGUCCCUGUCUCUUAUAC
This 301-nucleotide ribosomal RNA is filed under the name uncultured bacterium. RNAcentral's name for it is "partial 16S ribosomal RNA". It matches the Rfam family "Bacterial small subunit ribosomal RNA", at positions 509 to 807 of the family's 1533-position model. The record is from RNAcentral.